Long non-coding RNA from Diorhabda sublineata, 1228 nucleotides. RefSeq lists it as uncharacterized. The record is from RefSeq and is a predicted model, not a curated record. NCBI's taxonomy places the organism in Eukaryota, Metazoa, Arthropoda, Insecta, Coleoptera, Chrysomelidae. The transcript has 2 exons.
AGGCGCCAAUAAUUAUUUUAUUUUAUUACUAGGUUAAAGUGUAAACAAGUUUACUAAGAAUACAAUCUUGUUGAUUAGCAUGAAAUUUUGUUUUAAAAACUAACGAAAAAUCAGUGGAUUGUUCUAGUGGAUGUCUAGUUCAAAAAUUCCAUAUGAUUAAAACGGAAUUUUGUAGAAGAAAAUGAGGUGGGAAAAGCAUUGAUGAUAUCGAUUCAGUUCUCUAAUAUUACUGUGUUUAUAAAUAGAAUUAAAUAUAAUUACAAAAUGGUAUAAAAACAUCGAAAAAGCUGCAUUAGUUUUCUAGUAAUGCUUUCAUGAUCAUUAGAAUGAAAUUUUGUUUAGAGAAUGACAUAAAGAGGUUGAAAAAUCAUUGAAUUCAUUGGAUGGAUACGGAUAUUCCAUCUCUACAUUGGCAAAAACGCAAUAAAAAUUUUCAAUUUCCAAAUUUCAUCCUUAAAAAAAUCUGGUGUAUAACUAUAGCGCAAUGAAAAAUUAAUCAUGAUUUUAUGGCAAAAAACAACGAGAAACGAGACAAAAUAAUAACAUGAAAAUAUCGCGACCUGCCAAAAAGGUGCACUCGCUAUAAUUUAUGGCACAAACCCAAAAUUUCACGUUACCUGAUAGGUCAGUUUCUUCAAACAAUACGAAAUAAUUAAGUCGUCAAAGCCUGAGGUCUUGAUAGGAAAAAUGGAAAAGAAACCCAUCAAAAACAAUUUUUUCCCAACACAAUUAGAAGUUUCGUGUUCGUGUUCGUUCCAGAGGAAUUUACUAUCUAGGAAUAUUGAAGGAGUAGACAAUUUCUCACGACAAUUAAAUGAAGUAUGAUCAAUUGGCCUUCGUCUGUGUUAUAAACAAAAUAAAGCUCAUCGGCCGGCAAGUCUAGGAAGACGAGGAGAACCAUCACAAGCACACAUACCCAUACACAUACAAAUUCAAUUUUGUAGAUAGCGAAGAAGAAAUAUGGUCACGUUCUAAUCCCAAAGAAAAUAUUUGUCUGGUAUAUUAGUAAGAAAGAAGCAGAGAGCACCUUUAAAAUUCCGAAAAAAAAUUUGUUUGCCUUCAUUCAAGAUGCGUGAGAACUAAAGUAAGGUGUGGCGUUUACUGUACUUUUGACAUUGUUUUUAUUCCGUUUUCAUUCAGUAGUGACAUUCAGGACAAUAUUUUUAUGAAAAAAUAUUAUAUGAAUUUUAUACCGGGCUCAAUCAAAAUACAAAUAAAUACCAAUUUU